Molecule: ribosomal RNA, 253 nt
Filed under: uncultured bacterium
Lineage: Bacteria
Description: partial 16S ribosomal RNA
Rfam family: Bacterial small subunit ribosomal RNA
Source: RNAcentral
UACGUAGGGGGCAAGCGUUGUCCGGAUUUAUUGGGCGUAAAGAGCGUGUAGGCGGCCUGGAAGGUCAGCUGUGAAAACUCGAGGCUCAACCUCGAGACGUCGGUUGAAACCACCUGGCUAGAGUCCGGAAGAGGAGAGUGGAAUUCCCGGUGUAGCGGUGAAAUGCGCAGAUAUCGGGAAGAACACCCGUGGCGAAGGCGGCUCUCUGGGACGGUACUGACGCUGAGGUGCGAAAGCGUGGGGAGCAAACAGG